AAUGCGAUGAUGAUUUUAUAAAGGUUGAGGCAGUGGUGGCUUUGGUCACCGUGAGCCGUCAAACCAAAAAACGACUUCUCUUUCCACUGAGCAUU
This 95-nucleotide small nucleolar RNA is filed under the name Dichanthelium oligosanthes. RNAcentral's name for it is "Small nucleolar RNA Z152/R70/R12/". It matches the Rfam family "Small nucleolar RNA Z152/R70/R12/". From Rfam's summary of the family: Z152 is a member of the C/D class of snoRNA which contain the C (UGAUGA) and D (CUGA) box motifs. Most of the members of the box C/D family function in directing site-specific 2'-O-methylation of substrate RNAs. Lineage: Eukaryota; Viridiplantae; Streptophyta; Magnoliopsida; Poales; Poaceae. The record is from Rfam by way of RNAcentral.